Molecule: transfer RNA, 61 nt
Filed under: Pseudoniphargus sp. 1-Basque
Lineage: Eukaryota; Metazoa; Arthropoda; Malacostraca; Amphipoda; Allocrangonyctidae
Description: tRNA-Arg
Source: RNAcentral
AGAGAUAAAGUAUCAUUACAUUUGGUUUCGGCCCAAAAGUAAGCUUCUUCGCUUGUCUCUA